RNAcentral lists this ribosomal RNA (915 nucleotides) under Triticum aestivum (bread wheat). Its description in RNAcentral is "partial small subunit ribosomal RNA". The record is from RNAcentral. Lineage: Eukaryota; Viridiplantae; Streptophyta; Magnoliopsida; Poales; Poaceae.
AUGCGCGUGCCUGGCUCGUGGAGACUGAGCGCCGGCGGCGUCCCGGUGCCGCCGGUGCCCGAAGGGGCAGCACGACGGGCGGAGAUCGCCCGCGUCCGCUCCUCGUUGACGGAGGAGCAGCGGAACGAGCCGAGGUACGCGCCCGACAGCGAAACGCUGUGGACGCUGUAUUUCCAGCGCCGCCGCGAGGAGCAGAUCGCCUCCGUCAAUGGCAUCAUCCCCCGCGGCCGCCAUAACUCCGAAGGACGGCGCGAGUGGUGGGGCGUCCCCGGCCGCACCCUCGACGCCGUCCUCGACCACAUCGAGACCGGCAAUGUGCCGCGGCUGGAGUACCCGACGCGGCCCUCCUUCUCUCGUCGGCGCGGCAGUUCCUGGAUCCCGCGACGAAUGGAGCCGGGGUCGUCCUCGUCGUCGGGCUCCGGCUCGCCGGCCCUCCGCCCCGUCAAGCCCGAGCCGGAGGAGACACCGCUCGGGCGUCGUGCUCGCAGCGGCGCCCUCGUCAUCAACGAGCCCUCGCCUGCGACUGCACCGACGAGGCGCUCCCUCCGCCUGGUCCGGCCGAAGCCCGAGCCGGACAUGCUCCCCGUGAAGCCGGAGCACGCCGGCAUGGUGGCCCCCGACGACGAGUCCGCCCUCAAAUGGGCGAAGGAGGACUACGUCCGCGAGCAGGUGCGCCGCCAGCGUCGGGCAUAUCUGGAGACCCAGGCCCGUAGCUGCGCCGAGGCGCGUCGCCGUGUCGCCGAGGUGGGCGGCGUUAUCAUCAUCGACAGCGACGACGAGGGCGAGGCCGGGCCGUCAAGCGCUGUCGGCGACCCCGGCGAGGGAUGCAGCAGGGACGCCGCAGGUGAGGCGCGCCGCGACGACGACGACGGCAGCGGCGACUACACCCGCUUCUACAGGCUUCUCGGCAUGUAG